Long non-coding RNA from Oxyura jamaicensis (ruddy duck), 152 nucleotides. RefSeq lists it as uncharacterized. Lineage: Eukaryota; Metazoa; Chordata; Aves; Anseriformes; Anatidae. The transcript is spliced from 3 exons. The record is from RefSeq and is a predicted model, not a curated record.
CCAAGGAGAGUGUUCCCCCUCUGAUAAACGAGAUGGGAGAACUGGCUUCCUCAGACAUGGAAAAAGCUGAGGAACUCAAUAAGUGCUUUGUCUCAGUCUUCACUGGUGGUCAAGUUUCUUAUGUCUGUCAGGACCCUGAAUAACAAGGAGGG